Nicotiana tabacum (common tobacco) is the source of this 817-nucleotide non-coding RNA. NCBI's taxonomy places the organism in Eukaryota, Viridiplantae, Streptophyta, Magnoliopsida, Solanales, Solanaceae. The record is from RefSeq and is a predicted model, not a curated record.
AUAUAUGAGGACAUUCUCCAUUUUUAGAGGAGAGAGACAUAGGAAAAGAUAAUUAGAGAUCCCCUUCUCUGAGCGAGCAACGAUGCCCCUGUUCUUCAACUUCCUCCUCUCUGAAGAACUAGCAACUCCUUCACCUCUCAAAAAUGCAUCCAUCUCUCAAAAAUAGUGAAGAAAAAAAAAAAAAAGAAAAUGAAGUUGAAAACGAGAAAAUGGGGGUUCGGACAGAAAGAAAAUCAUCAAGUUCUUCUUAACCUAAAUUUCUUUUUAUUUUAAAAUCAGAAAAAAAAAGAAAAAAAAAAUUCGGCUUUCCUUCUAUUUGAUUUCGGGUUUCAGUACGAAGUUGGUGAUGCCGAAUGGUAUUUGAUUUUCUCUGUUCGAGAUCGAAUUUUGAGAUUCAAUAUUAAGGGCUGUGAAAUCCGUAGGUGCUGCUGCUUUUCUCCAUGUGAGUUGUUGAGCUUCAUCUUAAAGUUUUGGACCUUUAUUUGGUCUUCUACCCUCUCCUAUUAUGUAUGUGAGUAUGAAGUUGGUGAUGCCGAAUGGUAUUUGAUUUUCUCUGUUCGAGAUCUAAUUUUGAGAUUCAAUAUUAAGGGCUGUGAAAUCCGAAGGUGCUGCUGCUUUUCUCCAUGUGAGUUGUUGAUCUUCAUCUUAAAGUUUUGGACCUUUAUUUGGUCUUCUACCCUCUCCUAUUAUGUAUGUGAGGUAAACAUCUACUGCCUCAAUUUUUCUUGUCUUGUUGUUUGUUUGUUGAUGUAUUGAAUACUGUGAUGAAAUGCAUUGGAUUGUAAAUCUUGUUGUGAUAUUUCUUUUACUGCUUGAA